GAUUAAAUGGCUGAAGUUUAGGCGUUAGAUUGUAAAUCUAUUUAUGAAAAUUAUAUUUCUUUAAUCA
This 67-nucleotide transfer RNA is filed under the name Rheocricotopus villiculus. Its description in RNAcentral is "tRNA-Tyr". It matches the Rfam family "tRNA". Rfam says of the family: Transfer RNA (tRNA) molecules are approximately 80 nucleotides in length. Their secondary structure includes four short double-helical elements and three loops (D, anti-codon, and T loops). The record is from RNAcentral. Lineage: Eukaryota; Metazoa; Arthropoda; Insecta; Diptera; Chironomidae.